ACGAACGCUGGCGGCAUGCCUAACGCAUGCAAGUCGAACGAGACCUUCGGGUCUAGUGGCGCACGGGUGCGUAACGCGUGGGAACCUGCCCUUAGGUUCGGAAUAACUCCCCGAAAGGGGUGCUAAUACCGGAUAAUGUCUUCGGACCAAAGAUUUAUCGCCUUUGGAUGGGCCCGCGUUGGAUUAGCUAGUUGGUAGGGUAAAAGCCUACCAAGGCGACGAUCCAUAGCUGGUCUGAGAGGAUGAUCAGCCACACUGGGACUGAGACACGGCCCAGACUCCUACGGGAGGCAGCAGUGGGGAAUAUUGGACAAUGGGCGAAAGCCUGAUCCAGCAAUGCCGCGUGAGUGAUGAAGGCCUUAGGGUUGUAAAGCUCUUUUACCCGGGAUGAUAAUGACAGUACCGGGAGAAUAAGCUCCGGCUAACUCCGUG
RNAcentral lists this ribosomal RNA (432 nucleotides) under uncultured bacterium. RNAcentral's name for it is "partial 16S ribosomal RNA". It matches the Rfam family "Bacterial small subunit ribosomal RNA", at positions 29 to 507 of the family's 1533-position model. The record is from RNAcentral.